UUAUCUCCCCCAAGAGUUCACAUCGACGGGGAGGUUUGGCACCUCGAUGUCGGCUCAUCGCAUCCUGGGGCUGUAGUCGGUCCCAAGGGUUGGGCUGUUCGCCCAUUAAAGCGGUACGCGAGCUGGGUUCAGAACGUCGUGAGACAGUUCGGUCCCUAUCCGUCGUGGGCGUAGGAAAUUUGAGAGGAGCUGUCCUUAGUACGAGAGGACCGGGAUGGACAUACCUCUGGUGUACCAGUUGUCGUGCCAACGGCAUAGCUGGGUAGCUAUGUGUGGACGGGAUAAGUGCUGAAAGCAUCUAAGCAUGAAGCCCCCCUCAAGAUGAGAUUUCCCAACUUCGGUUAUAAGAUUCCUCAAAGAUGAUGAGGUUAAUAGGUUCGAUGUGGAAGCAUGGUGACAUGUGGAGCUGACGAAUACUAAUCGAUCGAAGACUUAAUCAAAA
This 442-nucleotide ribosomal RNA is filed under the name Escherichia coli. Its description in RNAcentral is "partial 23S ribosomal RNA". It matches the Rfam family "Bacterial large subunit ribosomal RNA", at positions 2483 to 2925 of the family's 2925-position model. Lineage: Bacteria; Pseudomonadati; Pseudomonadota; Gammaproteobacteria; Enterobacterales; Enterobacteriaceae. The record is from RNAcentral.